RNAcentral lists this long non-coding RNA (2342 nucleotides) under Homo sapiens (human). RNAcentral describes it as "non-protein coding lnc-IFT81-4:1". The record is from RNAcentral. Lineage: Eukaryota; Metazoa; Chordata; Mammalia; Primates; Hominidae.
AACCUGGGAGGUGGAGGUUGCAGCGAGCCAGAUUGCUCCAUUGCACUCCAGCCUGGGCAACAAGAGCGAAAAAGAUUGUGCCACUGCACUCCAGUCUGGGUGACAGAGCGAGAUUCUGUCUCAAAAAAUAAAAAUUAAAAAAAUUAAAAAAGAUUAAAAUACAAUAAGGUAAUUAAGCAAAACCACAAAAUUUAUCAAAUUCGGUUAAAUCCAGAAUCUGUUGAACAGUUUUAUAGAUAUUUCUUGUCUUUUUCUGUGAAAAUACCAACAGGCAAUUUCUUUCUUAACCAAAGAAAUUAACAAGAUAAUACUUGAUUAAUAGGAGAAUGAAAUUAAAAGUCCACUCAUUUAUUUUGAUGCGAAUAUUUGUUAUCUUGUGUGCCUGACACUGUGCUAAGUGCUAAAAUAGAAAUUGAACAUGACCUAGUUUUUGCUCUCAAAGACCUCACAGUUUAGAAGACUCAAAUAUUAUGCAGCAAAAUAAGUGCUGUGUGUACAAAGAACAGGGAGCUCAGAGGAAGCAGCAAUUAGUACUGAUGGGGGAUUGUGGAAAGAUUAACAGAGGAGAUGGAACUUGAGCUGAUUUGUAAGGAUGAGUUAAGAUGUUGAUAGGCAUGGGAAAAGUGAAGACAUAAAGGCAUUUAAGGAUACAGCAUGUGAAGGAAAGGACAAGAAGUCUAGUAGGGCUCGGUAAGUUACACAGGUGCAUGGGAGAUGGGGAAAGAAUUCAUAUUAUGUAUCAAGCUCUUGAGUUCUGUAAUGUGCUGGACACUCAGACUGAAUGAAAAGGUGCAGUAAAAAUAUAAGUGUGGCCCCUGUUGUUAACACGACUAUAUAUUAAACAACAGUAAACACAUCAAGAAGUAAUAACCAAGUACUAAAUUUUGUGGAGCAAUAGAAAUUCAAUCAAAUUGGAGCUAUAGGGAAGAGCAGAAGGUCAAAGAAGAGUAGAGUCAAGGAGGCUUUAUCAAAGAGGUAGGAACUGAUCUGGGCCUGGAAGGAUGGGUAAGAUGUGGACAGAUGAAUGGGAGAACAUGGCAGAACAGCAGGAGUGAAACCAGCAAGUAUUCAUCACCCACCACUCCCUUAUCCAGCUCUAUAGCAAGUAUAUUGAGCAAGAAAAGCAUGGCUGUCACUUUUAAGCAGCUUAAAGUCCAGUUAUCAAGAUAAGCGAUGUAACCAACAAAUCAGUGCUGGAUUAGCCAGUAGGCAAACAUGCACUACAGAUUUUCUGAAAGUAUAUGAUAUUUCAAAAAUCAAAGAAGUUUCCAUUAGAAAAAGCUGGGCACGGUGGCUUACACCUGCAAUCUCAGCACUUUGGGAGACCAAGGCCGGGCAGAUCACUUGAGGUCAGGGGUUUGAGACCAAACUGGCCAACAUGGCAAAACCCCUGUCUCUACUAAAAAUAUAAAAAUUACCCAGAGUAGUGACGCGCGCCUGUAAUUCUAGCUACUCGGGAGGCUGAGACACGAGAAUCGCUUGAACCCAGAAGGCAGAGGUUGCAGUGAGCCGAGAUCGCACCACUACACUUCAGCUUGGGUGAUGGAGUGAGACUCUGUCUCAAAAAAAAAAAAAAAAAGGAAAAGAGAAAGAGAGAGAGAAAAAAAGGAAGGAGGGAAGGAAGGAAGGAAGAGGGAAAGAAAGAGAGAAAGAGCAGAACUCUGUUAGACUUCCUUAUAUUCGUAUUAUGGUUUAGUCUUUGUUUCUUCUCAUUGCAUGUAGUGGGGAGGGGAACUAUAAUUUUUUGGAAGUUAGAGUCUCUAAAAAUUUUAGUUCAGCUUCCUGGAAUGGGAUAAAAACCACAUAGAUAGUAGAGUUAAUAAUCCCCACAGAACUCAAAGUGGGAGAAAAUACAGGCUGGAGCAAUCUGGUCAGCCUAGAGGAGAAAACAUUCAAGUUAAACCUCUUAUGGAAGCUUGAGUAGAAAUUGGCUCCAAGAGGGAGCAAGAGCUCCGUGGAGAAAAGGAAGCCCCAAAAGGGAAUGCCCUGAGGUAUGAGCCAGACCCAGCCGGAGGGAACAGAGAAGAUGAAGCUGGAAAGGGAGUGAGAGAUUGAAGCUGAAGGUUUCUAGUUGGUGGGAUUAUCAGCCAUGGUCUGUUGGUAAUAACAACAGGAGUUCUUCUUAAUAUCCUUUUGAACUGUUGAUGAAAUGAGAUUCACUGCAUUGUAGAGAAUGACAAAUUAUCAUCUUCCACGGAAGACUGCCAUCAUGGACUAAGUUUGGUUUAUUUUUUGUGACAGAGAAGAGCAAUACAGGUGGUAAGCCAGUUAAUUUGUUUCAUUGUGUUUUGGGGGUUAUUUUUUACACUAAUUGAAAGAUUCGGCAUUUUAUUUUAUUUUAU